GAUGAACGCUGGCGGUAUGCUUAACACAUGCAAGUCGAACGAAAGUUUUUAACUUUAGUGGCGAACGGGUGCGUAAUACGUGAGAAUCUGCCCUUAGGAGAAGAAUAACUGCUGGAAACGGCUGCUAAAUCUUCAUAUGCCGAGAGGUGAAAUAGUUUAGGCUGCCUAAGGAUGAGCUCACGCCUGAUUAGCUAGUUGGUAAGGUAACGGCUUACCAAGGCCACGAUCAGUAGCUGGUUUGAGAGAACGAUCAGCCACACUGGGACUGAGACACGGCCCAGACUCCUCCGGGAGGCAGCAGUGAGGAAUUUUCCGCAAUGGGCGAAAGCCUGACGGAGCAAUACCGCGUGAGGGAUGAAGGAUUUUGGUCUGUAAACCUCUUUUCUCAAGAAAGAAGUUCUGACGGUACUUGAGGAAUAAGCAUCGGCUAACUCCGUGCCAGCAGCCGCGGUAAUACGGGGGGUGCAAGCGUUAUCCGGAAUCAUUGGGCGUAAAGCGCCUGUAGGUUGUUUACUAAGUCUGUUGUUAAAGACUAGGGCUUAACCCUAGAAAAGCAAUGGAAACUUGUAGACUAGAGUAUGGCAGGGGUAGAGGGAAUUU
RNAcentral lists this ribosomal RNA (600 nucleotides) under uncultured bacterium. Its description in RNAcentral is "bacterial SSU rRNA". It matches the Rfam family "Bacterial small subunit ribosomal RNA", at positions 28 to 669 of the family's 1533-position model. The record is from RNAcentral.